UACGUAGGGUGCGAGCGUUGUCCGGAUUUAUUGGGCGUAAAGAGCUCGUAGGCGGUUUGGCAAGUCGGGUGUGAAAACUCCGGGCUCAACUCGGAGACGCCACUCGAUACUGCCAUGACUCUAGUCCGGUAGGGGAGUGCGGAAUUCCUGGUGUAGCGGUGAAAUGCGCAGAUAUCAGGAGGAACACCGGUGGCGAAGGCGGCACUCUGGGCCGGUACUGACGCUGAGGAGCGAAAGCGUGGGGAGCGAACAGG
This 254-nucleotide ribosomal RNA is filed under the name uncultured bacterium. RNAcentral's name for it is "partial 16S ribosomal RNA". It matches the Rfam family "Bacterial small subunit ribosomal RNA", at positions 524 to 776 of the family's 1533-position model. The record is from RNAcentral.